This 2904-nucleotide ribosomal RNA is filed under the name Escherichia coli. RNAcentral's name for it is "23S ribosomal RNA". It matches the Rfam family "Bacterial large subunit ribosomal RNA". The record is from RNAcentral. Lineage: Bacteria; Pseudomonadati; Pseudomonadota; Gammaproteobacteria; Enterobacterales; Enterobacteriaceae.
GGUUAAGCGACUAAGCGUACACGGUGGAUGCCCUGGCAGUCAGAGGCGAUGAAGGACGUGCUAAUCUGCGAUAAGCGUCGGUAAGGUGAUAUGAACCGUUAUAACCGGCGAUUUCCGAAUGGGGAAACCCAGUGUGUUUCGACACACUAUCAUUAACUGAAUCCAUAGGUUAAUGAGGCGAACCGGGGGAACUGAAACAUCUAAGUACCCCGAGGAAAAGAAAUCAACCGAGAUUCCCCCAGUAGCGGCGAGCGAACGGGGAGGAGCCCAGAGCCUGAAUCAGUGUGUGUGUUAGUGGAAGCGUCUGGAAAGGCGCGCGAUACAGGGUGACAGCCCCGUACACAAAAAUGCACAUGCUGUGAGCUCGAUGAGUAGGGCGGGACACGUGGUAUCCUGUCUGAAUAUGGGGGGACCAUCCUCCAAGGCUAAAUACUCCUGACUGACCGAUAGUGAACCAGUACCGUGAGGGAAAGGCGAAAAGAACCCCGGCGAGGGGAGUGAAAAAGAACCUGAAACCGUGUACGUACAAGCAGUGGGAGCACGCUUAGGCGUGUGACUGCGUACCUUUUGUAUAAUGGGUCAGCGACUUAUAUUCUGUAGCAAGGUUAACCGAAUAGGGGAGCCGAAGGGAAACCGAGUCUUAACUGGGCGUUAAGUUGCAGGGUAUAGACCCGAAACCCGGUGAUCUAGCCAUGGGCAGGUUGAAGGUUGGGUAACACUAACUGGAGGACCGAACCGACUAAUGUUGAAAAAUUAGCGGAUGACUUGUGGCUGGGGGUGAAAGGCCAAUCAAACCGGGAGAUAGCUGGUUCUCCCCGAAAGCUAUUUAGGUAGCGCCUCGUGAAUUCAUCUCCGGGGGUAGAGCACUGUUUCGGCAAGGGGGUCAUCCCGACUUACCAACCCGAUGCAAACUGCGAAUACCGGAGAAUGUUAUCACGGGAGACACACGGCGGGUGCUAACGUCCGUCGUGAAGAGGGAAACAACCCAGACCGCCAGCUAAGGUCCCAAAGUCAUGGUUAAGUGGGAAACGAUGUGGGAAGGCCCAGACAGCCAGGAUGUUGGCUUAGAAGCAGCCAUCAUUUAAAGAAAGCGUAAUAGCUCACUGGUCGAGUCGGCCUGCGCGGAAGAUGUAACGGGGCUAAACCAUGCACCGAAGCUGCGGCAGCGACGCUUAUGCGUUGUUGGGUAGGGGAGCGUUCUGUAAGCCUGUGAAGGUGUACUGUGAGGUAUGCUGGAGGUAUCAGAAGUGCGAAUGCUGACAUAAGUAACGAUAAAGCGGGUGAAAAGCCCGCUCGCCGGAAGACCAAGGGUUCCUGUCCAACGUUAAUCGGGGCAGGGUGAGUCGACCCCUAAGGCGAGGCCGAAAGGCGUAGUCGAUGGGAAACAGGUUAAUAUUCCUGUACUUGGUGUUACUGCGAAGGGGGGACGGAGAAGGCUAUGUUGGCCGGGCGACGGUUGUCCCGGUUUAAGCGUGUAGGCUGGUUUUCCAGGCAAAUCCGGAAAAUCAAGGCUGAGGCGUGAUGACGAGGCACUACGGUGCUGAAGCAACAAAUGCCCUGCUUCCAGGAAAAGCCUCUAAGCAUCAGGUAACAUCAAAUCGUACCCCAAACCGACACAGGUGGUCAGGUAGAGAAUACCAAGGCGCUUGAGAGAACUCGGGUGAAGGAACUAGGCAAAAUGGUGCCGUAACUUCGGGAGAAGGCACGCUGAUAUGUAGGUGAAGUCCCUCGCGGAUGGAGCUGAAAUCAGUCGAAGAUACCAGCUGGCUGCAACUGUUUAUUAAAAACACAGCACUGUGCAAACACGAAAGUGGACGUAUACGGUGUGACGCCUGCCCGGUGCCGGAAGGUUAAUUGAUGGGGUCAGCGCAAGCGAAGCUCUUGAUCGAAGCCCCGGUAAACGGCGGCCGUAACUAUAACGGUCCUAAGGUAGCGAAAUUCCUUGUCGGGUAAGUUCCGACCUGCACGAAUGGCGUAAUGAUGGCCAGGCUGUCUCCACCCGAGACUCAGUGAAAUUGAACUCGCUGUGAAGAUGCAGUGUACCCGCGGCAAGACGGAAAGACCCCGUGAACCUUUACUAUAGCUUGACACUGAACAUUGAGCCUUGAUGUGUAGGAUAGGUGGGAGGCUUAGAAGUGUGGACGCCAGUCUGCAUGGAGCCGACCUUGAAAUACCACCCUUUAAUGUUUGAUGUUCUAACGUUGACCCGUAAUCCGGGUUGCGGACAGUGUCUGGUGGGUAGUUUGACUGGGGCGGUCUCCUCCUAAAGAGUAACGGAGGAGCACGAAGGUUGGCUAAUCCUGGUCGGACAUCAGGAGGUUAGUGCAAUGGCAUAAGCCAGCUUGACUGCGAGCGUGACGGCGCGAGCAGGUGCGAAAGCAGGUCAUAGUGAUCCGGUGGUUCUGAAUGGAAGGGCCAUCGCUCAACGGAUAAAAGGUACUCCGGGGAUAACAGGCUGAUACCGCCCAAGAGUUCAUAUCGACGGCGGUGUUUGGCACCUCGAUGUCGGCUCAUCACAUCCUGGGGCUGAAGUAGGUCCCAAGGGUAUGGCUGUUCGCCAUUUAAAGUGGUACGCGAGCUGGGUUUAGAACGUCGUGAGACAGUUCGGUCCCUAUCUGCCGUGGGCGCUGGAGAACUGAGGGGGGCUGCUCCUAGUACGAGAGGACCGGAGUGGACGCAUCACUGGUGUUCGGGUUGUCAUGCCAAUGGCACUGCCCGGUAGCUAAAUGCGGAAGAGAUAAGUGCUGAAAGCAUCUAAGCACGAAACUUGCCCCGAGAUGAGUUCUCCCUGACUCCUUGAGAGUCCUGAAGGAACGUUGAAGACGACGACGUUGAUAGGCCGGGUGUGUAAGCGCAGCGAUGCGUUGAGCUAACCGGUACUAAUGAACCGUGAGGCUUAACCUU